GUAUAUCUUUAAAAUUAAUUAAAUGAUUAUCAGUCAAGUGUUCAUUUUGUUUCCACAUAAAGAUUUAACAUUGGGACAGAAAAUUGGUUUGAAAUUGGUUAUACUGAUCCAUACAAGAAAAAAUAAACAAAAAUCAUGACCCAAAAAAGAAUUUCUCCCCUUCAAAAGUCACCACUUUUUUCCAUUUUUUCAUAUAUAAAUCAAUAUUUCAAAAUUCAUUAAUGAUCCUUCCGCAGGUUCACCUACGGAAA
Molecule: unclassified non-coding RNA, 251 nt
Filed under: uncultured fungus
Lineage: Eukaryota; Fungi
Description: sequence contains ITS1
Source: RNAcentral